UCCGGUUUGGCACCGGCAGUCCUCCCAGAGUCCUCGGCUUUACCCGGUAGCAACUGGGAGCGGGGGUUGCGCUCGUUGCGGGACUUAACCCAACAUCUCACGACACGAGCUGACGACAGCCAUGCAGCACCUGUGCAGGGACUCCGAAGAGGGGUCCUGGUUUCUCAAGACUUUCCCCUGCAUGUCAAGCCCAGGUAAGGUGGGGAUGACGUACCAAGGUUGGUU
This 225-nucleotide unclassified non-coding RNA is filed under the name uncultured Gemmatimonadaceae bacterium. Its description in RNAcentral is "contains 16S-23S intergenic spacer region". Lineage: Bacteria; Pseudomonadati; Gemmatimonadota; Gemmatimonadia; Gemmatimonadales; Gemmatimonadaceae. The record is from RNAcentral.